RNAcentral lists this transfer RNA (69 nucleotides) under Ictidomys tridecemlineatus (thirteen-lined ground squirrel). RNAcentral's name for it is "Spermophilus tridecemlineatus (thirteen-lined ground squirrel) tRNA". It matches the Rfam family "tRNA". From Rfam's summary of the family: Transfer RNA (tRNA) molecules are approximately 80 nucleotides in length. The record is from Rfam by way of RNAcentral. Lineage: Eukaryota; Metazoa; Chordata; Mammalia; Rodentia; Sciuridae.
GGAGUUGUGGCUCAGUGGUAGAGUGCUCACCUCGAACAUGUGAGACCCUGGGUUCGAUCCUCAGCACCA